Molecule: small nuclear RNA, 24 nt
Filed under: Arabidopsis thaliana (thale cress)
Lineage: Eukaryota; Viridiplantae; Streptophyta; Magnoliopsida; Brassicales; Brassicaceae
Description: snRNA_16119
Source: RNAcentral
GAUCAUCAUCCACUGUCUUUCCUG